AAGACUUUAAGUUAAAAUUAAACUGUUAACCUUCAAAGUUAAAAAUAUCUAAGGCAAGGUAAGUCUUA
RNAcentral lists this transfer RNA (68 nucleotides) under Nephotettix nigropictus. Its description in RNAcentral is "tRNA-Trp". Lineage: Eukaryota; Metazoa; Arthropoda; Insecta; Hemiptera; Cicadellidae. The record is from RNAcentral.